UCAUAGUUGUCAAAUCAUGAAUCAAAUCGAGAAUCGAAAUGGUCAUUUUUCGAAUUGUGAAUCGAAUCGAAUCGAAUCGUGAAUCGCUCUGAUUCGGUCAUGACUUCUAUAAUGCAUAGAAACCUAUGCUUAUUGAUUAGGGUAACAACCAUAUAUACUACAAAUGAAAGAUUUAGGCCUAAAUCAAUAAAUACUUUCUUCUAAAUGAUGAUUUGAUAAUAACGUGAAAUAUUAGGUAAGUUGCUUCUAUUGCAACUACCAAGAGAUGAUGAUUCGUAAAGCCUACUUAUGGUUCUUUUUGUACGAAAAGUUAUAAGUACAAAACAAACCCUUAGAAGGUCUAUAGGGUUGUUAUAUUCCAUUUAUCUUCCUCAUUUUCGAUUCACUCUCGUAAUAAAUUUCUUUUUCUUAUUAUCUAUCCAUAUAACAUAGACAAAAGAUGACAUAUAACAAUACUAGACCUUAAAAAAAUAUUUGAACCCUUUUCAAACAACAAAAGAAGCAAAACAAGAGUAAAAAAUGAAUUUCGGAAAUUUUAAGUGAAUCAAACGAUUCACUGAUUCACUUACGAUUCUCAGCUAUUUCCGAUUCGGCAGCCUAUUCGUAUCGAUUACCCACCGAAUCGUAUCGAAUCGUACGAUACGAAUUGUAAAUCACCGAUUCACUUACGAUUCUCAGCUAUUUCCGAUUCGGCAGCCUAUUCGUAUUGAUUACCCACCGAAUCGUACAAUACGAAUUGUGAAUCGUACGAUUCUGACAACUAUGGUUUUAAUCUAUUGAGUAUUUGUAUGCAUGCUUUCAAAUACAAGUUAUACAAUGGUUUUCAUUGAUUGUGGUUGGAGUUCUGAGAUAGAUUAUACUCGUAAGACGGGCCAUGCCAUUAGGCGGCUAGACCGUACUUUUGAGACAGUCCGUGCUAUGAGAUAAUUUAUGCCUUUUAACAACCCAAUAUAUUUUCUAGAUGAUUAUUGCUAUGGUUUGCAAGCCCUAAUAAUAAUCCCUUCUAAUUCGAAUAAUUAAUCUCGCCUAUGCAUGUUGGAGUUACGAGGUCGAGGUGGAUUCGAACCCUAGAUUUUUCUCUCCAAUCGUUACAAACUUUUCAUUUAAUUAUUUCUCUUAGUUUAAUAAAUUCUCCAAAUUCAAACAACCAAACUUCUUUUGCCCGAAUUAAUCUAAAAUUAAUCGAAUUUGUCGUAACUCAGCCAUACUGUCUCCGUCGGAACGAUACUCGGUUUUGACCAUUAUUCUACGGAGUAGUAGUUAAUUUCAAGGCUUUAUAAAUAUAUUUUUGACGCGGAACGACGCGGUCACUCAGACCCUGAACAAAAACCAUGCAAUCUGUGCAAAUGUUCACUGCUUCAAUCCCAUUACUUAUGCUCCAUCUGUGACCAAAACACCUGGCUUCAAUCUCACAUCUCCUGCAUUGAGACCUCCUACUGUGAAACACUCUUUCUUGACCCAGCCCCACAACUACCACCACCCUUGCUUGUCAAUCUUAUCCACCUCAGGCCCGCCUAUCGACCUUCGGUGCCUCCAGCUUGUCCUUGAUCAUUUUGCUUCUCAACCCAUCAAAGUGGACGGAUUAAUGCUUCAUCUACAUCAUUUUGCCCCCCGUCUGAAACAACACAUCACUCCUCAUACACCAAAUGGUCCACAUUAAGCAAACAGAAUCCCAUAUUACUUCUUCACUUGGGGCCUCCUUGAUCCAUAUUGCAAACCAUUGGCCCACUGGAAUUGCAUCUCCCACGUCAAAAUCUAAACCGAGAGGAGAUGCUCUCCACACUCUUUGGCAAAGGAGCAUUGAAGAAAUGAAUUUACUUUGUCAAUAUCUAUACUUCCGGUGUUAAUGUGAAUUUUUAGUCUCGCACUACGUUUAGUAAUGAUAACAUGAAGGCUCUUAAAAACCUGAUAUCAAGCACUUUUCUACUACAAGUAUGGAAUACUAUUGGAGAUACUCUUUGUAAGUCAAAGCAUAUCUCUCAUCAGUUCACCGAAAAAUAUUUAGGUUUACAUACAACCCAUGAAAACAUAGAUAGAGAAUGAGAGAACAGAAUCAGAUCCCAUCCCCAACCCUCCACACAAUAGAGCUUGGUUACAUCUUGAUUCCCAAUACUGAAGGUCGAACGAAUAUGGUAAAAUCAACUGAGAAACACAUGUCAACAAUGGAGUAGUUUCCAAUAGUCUUCACUAGUGUCUCAAAAAAUACAAGUACAUCAAAGGGAAAUCCAGGAAAGAUAUGAUUCUACAGUUCAAUGAUUCUCCAACAGCAAUAAGACUGAAUACUUUAUUUAGUGAGGAAUUGUCCACAUAAAUAUGUGUAUGAAUACCCAAGCACAAAGGUUUAGUGCUUGAUGAAAUAGCGUUCACUAUAAAUAAGAAUAAUCUGAACACCAAGCACAAGGUUUGGUGCACUGGCGAUCUUUCUCUUAUUUUGAUGACUUGAUAAAUGAUUGUGGUUGCUUAUUCUAUCAAUAAGAAUUGGCCAAAGAAUGGCUACUUGAUAGUAUAAAUAUCUAGAUUAAUGGGUAGCUCAUUUGGAUCAAAAAUCCUAUUGUGGCAACUUUUGUCACA
Molecule: long non-coding RNA, 2571 nt
Organism: Rhododendron vialii
Lineage: Eukaryota; Viridiplantae; Streptophyta; Magnoliopsida; Ericales; Ericaceae
Exons: 2
Source: RefSeq, a predicted model, not a curated record